CCUACGGGGUGCAGCAGUGGGGAAUAUUGGACAAUGGGCGAAAGCCUGAUCCAGCAAUGCCGCGUGUGUGAAGAAGGCCUUCGGGUUGUAAAGCACUUUCAGUGGGGAAGAAAGCCUUGGGGCUAAUACCCUCGAGAAAGGACAUCACCCACAGAAGAAGCACCGGCUAACUCCGUGCCAGCAGCCGCGGUAAUACGGAGGGUGCGAGCGUUAAUCGGAAUUACUGGGCGUAAAGCGCGCGUAGGCGGUCUGAUAAGCCGGUUGUGAAAGCCCCGGGCUCAACCUGGGAACGGCAUCCGGAACUGUCAGGCUAGAGUGCAGGAGAGGAAGGUAGAAUUCCCGGUGUAGCGGUGAAAUGCGUAGAGAUCGGGAGGAAUACCAGUGGCGAAGGCGGCCUUCUGGACUGACACUGACGCUGAGGUGCGAAAGCGUGGGUAGCAAACAGGAUUAGAUACCCUUGUAGUC
This 465-nucleotide ribosomal RNA is filed under the name Vreelandella stevensii. RNAcentral's name for it is "partial 16S ribosomal RNA". It matches the Rfam family "Bacterial small subunit ribosomal RNA", at positions 338 to 795 of the family's 1533-position model. Lineage: Bacteria; Pseudomonadati; Pseudomonadota; Gammaproteobacteria; Oceanospirillales; Halomonadaceae. The record is from RNAcentral.